This 440-nucleotide ribosomal RNA is filed under the name uncultured bacterium. RNAcentral describes it as "partial 16S ribosomal RNA". It matches the Rfam family "Bacterial small subunit ribosomal RNA", at positions 338 to 795 of the family's 1533-position model. The record is from RNAcentral.
CCUACGGGAGGCAGCAGUGGGGAAUAUUGCACAAUGGGGGCAACCCUGAUGCAGCGAUGCCGCGUGCAGGAAGACGGCCCUCGGGUUGUAAACCCCUUUUAUCAGGGACGAUAAUGACGGUACCUGAAGAAAAAGCUCCGGCUAACUACGUGCCAGCAGCCGCGGUAAUACGUAGGGAGCGAGCGUUUUCCGGAAUUAAUGGGUGUAAAGGGCGCGUAGGCGGGGUGGUAAGUCAGAUGUGAAAACUUCGGGCUCAACCUUCGGACUGCAUUUGAAACUGCUGGUCUUGAGUGAAGUAGAGGAAAGCGGAAUUCCUGGUGUAGCGGUGAAAUGCGUAGAUAUUAGGAAGAACAUCGGUGGCGAAGGCGGCUGACUGGGCUGUAACUGACGCUGAGGCUCGAAAGCGUGGGGAGCAAACAGGAUUAGAUACCCGGGUAGUC